GGCGGACGGGUGAGUAACGCGUGAGGAACCUGCCUUUCAGAGGGGGACAACAGUUGGAAACGACUGCUAAUACCGCAUAACAUAUAGAUGUCGCAUGGCAUUUAUAUCAAAGAUUUAUCGCUGAAAGAUGGCCUCGCGUCUGAUUAGCUAGUUGGUGAGGUAACGGCCCACCAAGGCGACGAUCAGUAGCCGGACUGAGAGGUUGAACGGCCACAUUGGGACUGAGAUACGGCCCAGACUCCUACGGGAGGCAGCAGUGGGGAAUAUUGGGCAAUGGGCGCAAGCCUGACCCAGCAACGCCGCGUGAAGGAAGAAGGCUUUCGGGUUGUAAACUUCUUUUGUCAGGGACGAGUAGAAGACGGUACCUGACGAAUAAGCCACGGCUAACUACGUGCCAGCAGCCGCGGUAAUACGUAGGUGGCAAGCGUUGCCCGGAUUUACUGGGUGUAAAGGGCGUGUAGCCGGGAGGGCAAGUCAGAUGUGAAAUCCACGGGCUCAACUCGUGAACUGCAUUUGAAACUACUCUUCUUGAGUAUCGGAGAGGCAAUCGGAAUUCCUAGUGUAGCGGUGAAAUGCGUAGAUAUUAGGAGGAACACCAGUGGCGAAGGCGGAUUGCUGGACGACAACUGACGGUGAGGCGCGAAAGCGUGGGGAGCAAACAGGAUUAGAUACCC
This 674-nucleotide ribosomal RNA is filed under the name uncultured bacterium. RNAcentral describes it as "bacterial SSU rRNA". It matches the Rfam family "Bacterial small subunit ribosomal RNA", at positions 97 to 787 of the family's 1533-position model. The record is from RNAcentral.